Molecule: ribosomal RNA, 504 nt
Filed under: uncultured bacterium
Lineage: Bacteria
Description: bacterial SSU rRNA
Rfam family: Bacterial small subunit ribosomal RNA
Source: RNAcentral
CUGGCUCAGGAUGAACGCUAGCGGCAGGCCUAACACAUGCAAGUCGCGGGGCAGCACGGGUAGCAAUACCUGGUGGCGACCGGCGCACGGGUGCGUAACGCGUAUGCAACCUGCCCCCAUCAGGGGAAUAGCCCGCCGAAAGGCGGAUUAAUGCCCCAUAGGCCCAGGGCGCCGCAUGGCGCUAUGGGUAAAGCUCCGGCGGAUGGGGAUGGGCAUGCGUGCCAUUAGCUAGUUGGGGCGGUAACGGCGCACCAAGGCGACGAUGGCUAGGGGGUCUGAGAGGAUGGUCCCCCACACUGGUACUGAGACACGGACCAGACUCCUACGGGAGGCAGCAGUGAGGAAUAUUGGUCAAUGGGCGGAAGCCUGAACCAGCCAUGCCGCGUGCAGGAUGACGGCCCUACGGGUUGUAAACUGCUUUUCCCCGGGAAGAAUAAGCCCCUCGUGAGGGGUGGUGCCGGUACCGGGGGAAUAAGGAUCGGCUAACUCCGUGCCAGCAGCAGC